This is a long non-coding RNA of Podarcis raffonei (Aeolian wall lizard), 795 nucleotides long. RefSeq lists it as uncharacterized. The transcript has 2 exons. Lineage: Eukaryota; Metazoa; Chordata; Lepidosauria; Squamata; Lacertidae. The record is from RefSeq and is a predicted model, not a curated record.
UCAAUGGGGCCGGCUGAAAUGUCACAGAGUAGUGAGUCUGUCUCUCUCUGCCUCACCUUGUCUGCCAAAGGAGUAAUACAGAACUACUGCAUCAUUCCAUGUUGCCUUAUGGCUAGGAUGAUUUAAGGAUUACAAGAUAAUGCAAGGGAAGGUGUUUGAACAGAAGUGCUAUACAAAUGCGAAUAUGACAAUUUAGUAAUUCCAUUUCAUCGUUCAGGUGUGAUGCUAAAGUUGUUGACUGCAAGAUGAAUGAGGUUAUUUCUGUUAGUCCCAUGGCUGCGUAUCAGUGCAAAGAAGCAAGUUCUGAAAGUCAGGCCUCAAAAGUAUUGCUCCUUUUAUUAUGAGUUGUAUUGAAAUGAUUGUUAUGAAGUCCUUGUUCAUUAUGUUGUAAGGUUCCCCGUGGUCAUUUUUGUGAAUGGCGGUAUAUAAAUGGCGGUAAAUAAAUUUUUUUUAAAUGACAUUUUCAGAAAUGCACAUUGUACUCCUAGAAUCAAUUAAUGCAGCAGCCACAAUCGGAGUGGACAACUUUAUGUAAAAAAUGAAGGAUCUUUCUGAUGCAAUCCAGUUGCUGAGAAUGUUCAUUGUUAUGUACAUCUCAUCUACAUAUUUAUAUUCUCUGCUUGAGGUGGCUUAUAGAACACCUGAAAGGAAGCUCAUUUUGAUGUAUUUCAUAAUAGUUUAUACACUAAAGCUAUCCAUGAAAAUCCCAAUUUCAAGGUUCACUGCUAAUAAAACUACAUUUCCUUUCACUGUUAAUAAAUUUAGGACAAGCAGAUUGUCUGUUUCUGCAAAUUC